AUGGCUGCCGUCCUGCUCGGCUCCGCGCCGCGCCACCCCGCCUCCCGCCCUCGACGCCGGCGCGGGCCAAUGAACGCCAAGGCAGGGGGCGGGGCCAGAGCCACAGAACUUCCCCCCGAAGGGGGAGACAGUAGUUGGGGUGUCCCCAGCAGGAAGGAGAAGGAGGCUGUCCGGAAGAAGGAGCGCCCAGAACGCACAAAGGCCUGGCAGUGGGCAGUCAGGGGCGUAGCCUGGAACAGGUGCCGGACGCAGAGCCUGGUACAGCAGCAGGGCUCCACUGCCAGAAGAAACAAUAGCCACUGUCCAGUGCUGCCCCUGCUGCUUAUACUGUCCUCAGAGCAGCCACCAGUGCUCAGGUUCAUCGAGUGCCAGGGAGCCCUGCCCAAGGACAUGGCGUGCAAGAUGUUCCACCAACUCUCCUUGGCCAUUAAGUACUGCCACGACCUGGACAUCGUGCACCAGAACCUCAAGUGUUAGAACCUGCUCCUCCACAAGGAUUUCAACAUCAAGCUGUUCUACUUCAGGUUCUCCAAGCUCUGCCUGCGGGAUGACAAUGGCCAACAGAGAUUAAGCAAGACCUUCUGUGGGUCGGUGGCAUAUGCAGCCCCUGAGGUGCAGCAGGGCAUCCCCUACUAGCCCAAGGUGUAUGACAUCUGGAGCCUGGGCAUGAUCCUCUACAUCAUGGUCUGCAGCUCCAUGCCCUAGGACGACUCCAACAUCAGGAAGAUGCCGUGUACCCAGAAGGCGCACCAUGUGGACUUCCCACACUCCAAGAACCUGACAGACGAGUGCAAGGACCUCAUCUAGUGCAUGCUGCAGCCCAACAUCAGCCAACAGCUCCACAUCCAUGACAUUCUCAGCCAAUGCUGGGUGCAGCCCAAGGCACAAGGACUGCCCUCUAUGGUCAUCAACAAGGAGGGGGAAAGCUCCCGGGGAACUGAACUCUUGUGGACCCCUGAACCUGGCUCUGCCAAGAGGUCUGCCACCAAGCUGGAGUCUGGGGAAGAGGCACAGCCCAAGAGACAACCUGAGACAAAACCUGAGGGGUUGGCAAUGCAAAUGUCCAGGCAGUCGGACGUCCUAGGCUUCCCCAGCAAGCCGUCAACCAGGGAGAAAGAGGAAGGGCCCCCCCAAAGGCCUCCAGAGAUUCGCAUCCAGUGAGCAUUUGUGGCCCAGUAUGCCAGCAGUGAAUGAGAUGGAGCUCACACCUUCAGGCCCAAGCUCUGAAGAAGUCAAGGCACAAACCAGAGAAGGAAGACAGUCCUGGAUGAGCCGCUGUUUUCAUCAGUUUCUUCUCUCUCCCCUUGAACUUCAUAACCACAUUGCUAAAGGAGCAAUAAAUCACUAUAUUAAUGCAGAUGCCAAA
Molecule: non-coding RNA, 1366 nt
Organism: Macaca mulatta (Rhesus monkey)
Lineage: Eukaryota; Metazoa; Chordata; Mammalia; Primates; Cercopithecidae
Source: RefSeq, a predicted model, not a curated record